CCUACGGGAGGCAGCAGUGGGGAAUAUUGCACAAUGGGGGAAACCCUGAUGCAGCGACGCCGCGUGAGUGAAGAAGUAAUUCGUUACGUAAAGCUCUAUCAGCAGGGAAGAAACACUGACCUUACGGUCAGCAGACGGUACCUGAGUAAGAAGCCCCGGCUAACUACGUGCCAGCAGCCGCGGUAAUACGUAGGGGGCAAGCGUUAUCCGGAUUUACUGGGUGUAAAGGGGUCGUAGACGGUGCGCCAAGUCUGGAGUGAAAUGCCGCAGCUUAACUGGAGAACUGCUUUGGAAACUGGCGAACUAGAGUGCGGGAGGGGUAAGCGGAAUUCCUAGUGUAGCGGUGAAAUGCGUAGAUAUUAGGAGGAACACCGGUGGCGAAGGCGGCUUACUGGACCGUAACUGACGUUGAGGCUCGAAAGCGUGGGGAGCAAACAGGAUUAGAUACCCCAGUAGUC
Molecule: ribosomal RNA, 458 nt
Filed under: uncultured bacterium
Lineage: Bacteria
Description: partial 16S ribosomal RNA
Rfam family: Bacterial small subunit ribosomal RNA
Source: RNAcentral